RNAcentral lists this long non-coding RNA (237 nucleotides) under Lathyrus oleraceus (garden pea). RNAcentral describes it as "Pisum sativum (pea) long non-coding RNA (PSAT_LNC017385)". The record is from RNAcentral. Lineage: Eukaryota; Viridiplantae; Streptophyta; Magnoliopsida; Fabales; Fabaceae.
CACGACCAGACAUCAACGGAUGAAUGGGAAGAAAGAAACCACGACCAGAUAUCUCUCGAUGAAUGGGAAGAAAGAAACCACGACCAGACAUCAACCAAUGAAUGGGAAGAAAGGAACCACGACCAGACAUCAACGGAUGAAUGGGAAGAAAGAAACCACGACCAGACAUCUCUCGGAUGAAUGGGAAGAAAGAAACCACGACCAGACAUCUCUCGAUGAAUGGGAAGAAAGAAACCA